AUUGAACGCUGGCGGCAUGCCUUACACAUGCAAGUCGAACGGCAGCACGGGUGCUUGCACCUGGGGGCGAGUGGCGAACGGGUGAGUAAUAUAUCGGAACGUACCUUAUUGUGGGGGAUAACGCAGCGAAAGCUGUGCUAAUACCGCAUAAUCCCUAAGGGGGAAAGCGGGGGACCGUAAGGCCUCGCGCAAUUAGAGCGGCCGAUACCUGAUUAGCUAGUUGGUGAGGUAAAGGCCCACCAAGGCAACGAUCAGUAGCUGGUCUGAGAGGACGAUCAGCCACACUGGGACUGAGACACGGCCCAGACUCCUACGGGAGGCAGCAGUGGGGAAUUUUGGACAAUGGGGGCAACCCUGAUCCAGCAAUGCCGCGUGAGUGAAGAAGGCCUUCGGGUUGUAAAGCUCUUUUGUCAGGGAAGAAACAGCAGCUCUAACACAGUUUGCGAAUGACGGUACCUGAAGAAUAAGCACCGGCUAACUACGUGCCAGCCGCCGCCGUAA
This 501-nucleotide ribosomal RNA is filed under the name uncultured bacterium. RNAcentral describes it as "partial 16S ribosomal RNA". It matches the Rfam family "Bacterial small subunit ribosomal RNA", at positions 30 to 523 of the family's 1533-position model. The record is from RNAcentral.